GUUGGUGAUUUGACGCAGUGGGUACACCCGUUCUCAUUCCGAACACGGAAGUUAAGCGCUGUAGUAGCGAUGGUACUCGCAAGGGGAGAGUAGCUAGUCGCCAACA
This 106-nucleotide ribosomal RNA is filed under the name bacterium CG10_49_38. RNAcentral also lists the same sequence under 1 other name. The record is from RNAcentral.